RNAcentral lists this long non-coding RNA (1024 nucleotides) under Helianthus annuus (common sunflower). RNAcentral's name for it is "hypothetical non coding rna". Lineage: Eukaryota; Viridiplantae; Streptophyta; Magnoliopsida; Asterales; Asteraceae. The record is from RNAcentral.
GGCUGUGUUUUCAUUAAUCGGUCUAAUCUUGCUUUUAAAACGCAAGAGAUGCACAAAAGCGACGAGAUCUAAAAGCAAGGCGCAAAGCGUAAAAGCGGCGGGUUUUUGUGGAGGUUUUCAGAGACAUGGUUGAAAGAUCUUAAAAGCUGCAUCUCUAAAUCAAAGUUAAAGGAUGUGGAGGUUUUCAGAGACAAUAAAGGGCAUGUGUACUGGAGGUUAAAAGGGUGUUCUGAGAAGCCUGGUAUUCUUCAAGGAAGGUGCAUCUGAUGCAGACGUCAACGCGCUUCCUAAAUACAGAUUUCAGGCAUCCAAAGAUAACGAGGACAAACCUGAGGUGGGAGCGGGUAGAAUGGUUCCUGCUGAAUCAAAUGGCAGUCACAUAGCUGUCGAACGUGUUCUUCUACCUGAGGAUGAUGAUUGCUGCAUUUAUCUAAGCACAUGAAGAUGGAGCAGAACUUCAUUCACUUCCUUGCAACCAUCAUUUCCAUGCUACAUGCAUUGUGAAAUGGCUGAAGAUGAAUGCAACUUGCCCACUUUGCAAAUACAUCAUCCUCAAGGGAAAUGAACAUCUUUAAAAAGUAAUCGAGUCUACAUGUGCAUGCUACUAUGUAUUUAUUCACGUACAUGAGGAAAUGUAAACAAAUAACUAUGUGAUGACAAUUGAUCCCGACCAUUGGUUUUUUGUAUGAGUUUGGUCUUCUUGGUACAAAUGAAGAGAAUAAUGCUUACAUUUAUAGGAUUUAUUUCAGUAGUACAUUUGUGUAGCUAUUUGAUGAGUUCAGAUCUUGUAUAUGUAACAUCCAACACCUCAUAGCCGUUAAUAUUGUCUUCUUUUACAUGCAAGAAAUUCAUCUAUCUCUUUUUAGUUGCGGAGUGGAGACCUUUUAGGUUGUUGUUUACCCUGUGAUUGUUUUUAUCAAAGCAUGUUUAACUACAAAGUUCUCUAAUCCACAAGACCACAACUAAUGCGUCUAAUACGUGUUGGUGGUAGUUGAAGUCUGUCAUUCUUUAUAAACCUAUGUGU